Long non-coding RNA from Paramacrobiotus metropolitanus, 763 nucleotides. RefSeq lists it as uncharacterized. The record is from RefSeq and is a predicted model, not a curated record. The transcript has 3 exons. NCBI's taxonomy places the organism in Eukaryota, Metazoa, Tardigrada, Eutardigrada, Parachela, Macrobiotidae.
AUACAAAAUAAAUGACAGAGCAUAGCUCAGUUCCUUAGAUAUCAUUCAGAAGCGUCUUCAAAAAACUGGUGUAAGCAGAGGUGCAUAUAAUAAGUGAAAUUUGGAAAGUCCAGGAUUUUAUUUUCGAUUAUUAAGUACCGAUAUUAAGGGUUAUACUCCUACCGUGAAUAUGCCUCGCUGUGUUUAUAUGGUCGCGGCCCUUUUGGUCGUACUCGCAGUCGCAAAUACCGUGCUUUCGGCAAAAGAAAAAAAGUCAGGCAUUUGCCCUGCGCCCAAAUGCGAGAUGGAUCCUAACAGCCCAAACGUUAACUGUGCUAGAUCUUGGGGAUGUUGCACAAUCGGUGGUUCCAGUUUCUGCACAAAACAACCUUGCAUGAACACACAAUUCUGCAAGAGCGACGACGACUGCAGUGGACGUUUAGUCAAGUGUUGUCCCACGGAAAACAAGGACAAGAAAGUGUGUGUCCAAAGCGUUCUCGUGCAUUAAUUGAUCUGUUUCAGUUGCCAGUGAUGGAUAUAAUUUACACUACAACCUGGUUGGUCAUUUUGGCAGCGCAUGUUGUUGCUUAACAUGUUAUAACCUAUCUCAUGCAUGCAUGUUGUUGCUUAACAUGCCCAACCUAUCUCUUAUUACCUUCUUGUUGGAUUUUAUCGGAUCUGUGUUAAACUGAACAUCAUGCAAGCCCUUGUAACGAUUUAUGAGGUAUCUGUACAACAAUAAUUUCGACCACCGUUGCAGGAAGAAUAAAUCAGGUUAACGUAU